UGAAGCUUGCUUUUGAUGGGCGUCGACCGGCGCACGGGUGAGUAACGCGUAUCCAUUCUGGCCACCACUUGGGGAUAACCUUGCGAAAGUAAGACUAUUACCCAAUGAUAUCUCUAGAAGACAUCUGAAAGAGAUUAAAGAUUUAUCGGUGAUGGAUGGGGAUGCGUCUGAUUAGCUUGUUGGCGGGGUAACGGCCCACCAAGGCAACGAUCAGUAGGGGUUCUGAGAGGAAGGUCCCCCACAUUGGAACUGAGACACGGUCCAAACUCCUACGGGAGGCAGCAGUGAGGAAUAUUGGUCAAUGGACGAGAGUCUGAACCAGCCAAGUAGCGUGCAGGAUGACGGCCCUAUGGGUUGUAAACUGCUUUUAUAAGGGAAUAAAGUGAGUCUCGUGAGACUUUUUGCAUGUACCUUAUGAAUAAGGACCGGCUAAUUCCGUGCCAGCAGCCGCGGUAAUACGGAAGGUCCGGGCGUUAUCCGGAUUUAUUGGGUUUAAAGGGAGCGUAGGCCGGAGAUUAAGCGUGUUGUGAAAUGUAGACGCUCAACGUCUGCACUGCAGCGCGAACUGGUUUCCUUGAGUACGCACAAAGUGGGCGGAAUUCGUGGUGUAGCGGUGAAAUGCUUAGAUAUCACGAAGAACUCCGAUUG
RNAcentral lists this ribosomal RNA (648 nucleotides) under uncultured Prevotella sp. RNAcentral describes it as "bacterial SSU rRNA". It matches the Rfam family "Bacterial small subunit ribosomal RNA", at positions 68 to 715 of the family's 1533-position model. Lineage: Bacteria; Pseudomonadati; Bacteroidota; Bacteroidia; Bacteroidales; Prevotellaceae. The record is from RNAcentral.